Molecule: long non-coding RNA, 477 nt
Organism: Dermochelys coriacea (leatherback sea turtle)
Lineage: Eukaryota; Metazoa; Chordata; Testudines; Dermochelyidae
Exons: 3
Source: RefSeq, a predicted model, not a curated record
CUCUCUAAUAGGAGGACCCAGAGGAAACAGCAGCUGUUCUGUAUUCUUCAAAAAAACAGCACCAGAACAUUUUCAAUCAACACCACUGAAAACAUUUAGCUUGAUUAUCCUUUGGCUUACACCUAUGCAAAUUAGGAAUAAUUCCAGGAAGGCAAUGGAGAUAUACUUGUUUAACUGAGAAACGGGUGCUCCUGGCAGAGAUAUGUUUUAGACGUAUCUACCAGUCCAGGACUUUUAGUGACAUUACAAUCAGCUUGAACAGUGGAACCCUAUAGACAACUAUCUACAAGAAACCCAUGGAUCACCACACCUAUCUUCACAGAUCCACUUAUCACCCUAACAACCUCAAGACAUCUGUUAUCUACAGCCAGGCACACAGAUACCACAGAAUAUGCUCUGAGAAAAAAGUCUUAAAACUGCCUUCACCAAACAAGGACACUCCAUCAGAGAAGUAGAUUGCAUCAUGGAAUGGGCCAC